RNAcentral lists this small nuclear RNA (339 nucleotides) under Octodon degus (degu). RNAcentral's name for it is "7SK RNA (ENSODEG00000024141.1)". It matches the Rfam family "7SK RNA". Rfam says of the family: 7SK was discovered as an abundant small nuclear RNA in the mid-70s but a possible function has only recently been suggested. Two independent studies have found that 7SK RNA binds the CDK9/cyclin T complex (known as elongation factor P-TEFb). Lineage: Eukaryota; Metazoa; Chordata; Mammalia; Rodentia; Octodontidae. The record is from RNAcentral.
GGAUGUGAGAGGGGUCUGCUGUGAUGUCUGCCAUCCCACUGAUCGCCAGGGCUGAUUUAAAACAUCUGAUUGAUGGGCAAGGUGUUCUCUUUUUCCCUCACCACUCUGGGUAUCGGCUCCAGAAGCUGUGUGCUCUGUAAAAGAUUAUGAGUACCUCAGGUGGAGGAGAACUAUUCCCUCUACUGAAUGUUGAGAGCAACUGUGGUCUCUUGCUAGAUCCUUCAGACAAUCUCUCUUAAUGUUUUUGGACCCUGAUUUUUCUUUCAUGGUAUCUGGCAGCAGCAUUUACCAUAUUUAUGAAGACAUGCUUUAUAAAGACACUCAUGGACCAUGACUUCU